RNAcentral lists this unclassified non-coding RNA (169 nucleotides) under uncultured Leptodontidium. RNAcentral describes it as "sequence contains ITS1". Lineage: Eukaryota; Fungi; Ascomycota. The record is from RNAcentral.
CCGAGUUCAUGCCCCUAGGGGUAGAUCUCCCACCCUGUGUUAUCACUACCUCUUGUUGCUUUGGCGGGCCGUCAGGCUGCGGCCUGGCUACCGGCUCCGGCUGGUGAGCGCCCGCCAGAGGACCCUAAACCCUGAAUGUUAGUGUCGUCUGAGUACUAUACAAUAGUUA